This 73-nucleotide transfer RNA is filed under the name Pseudomonadota bacterium. RNAcentral's name for it is "tRNA-Asp". It matches the Rfam family "tRNA". From Rfam's summary of the family: Transfer RNA (tRNA) molecules are approximately 80 nucleotides in length. Their secondary structure includes four short double-helical elements and three loops (D, anti-codon, and T loops). Further hydrogen bonds mediate the characteristic L-shaped molecular structure. tRNAs have two regions of fundamental functional importance: the anti-codon, which is responsible for specific mRNA codon recognition, and the 3' end, to which the tRNAs corresponding amino acid is attached (by aminoacyl-tRNA synthetases). tRNAs cope with the degeneracy of the genetic code in two manners: having more than one tRNA (with a specific anti-codon) for a particular amino acid; and 'wobble' base-pairing, i.e. permitting non-standard base-pairing at the 3rd anti-codon position. Lineage: Bacteria; Pseudomonadati; Pseudomonadota. The record is from RNAcentral. RNAcentral also lists the same sequence under 3 other names.
GGCCCCGUAGUGUAGCGGUUAACACGCCGGCCUGUCAAGCCGGAGAUCGCGGGUUCGAACCCCGUCGGGGUCG